RNAcentral lists this ribosomal RNA (516 nucleotides) under uncultured archaeon. RNAcentral's name for it is "bacterial SSU rRNA". It matches the Rfam family "Archaeal small subunit ribosomal RNA", at positions 345 to 860 of the family's 1478-position model. The record is from RNAcentral.
AACCUUUACACUGCACGCCAGUGCGAUAAGGGGAUCCCGAGUGCGCAGGCAUAGAGCCUGCGCUUUUCUGAACCGUAGGAAGGUUCAGGAACAAGAGCUGGGCAAGACCGGUGCCAGCCGCCGCGGUAAUACCGGCAGCUCGAGUGAUGGCCGAUCUUAUUGGGCCUAAAGCGUCCGUAGCUGGCCUUGCAAGUCCGUCGGGAAAUCCACCCGCUCAACGGGUGGGCGUCCGGCGGAAACUGCAAGGCUUGGGACCGGGAGGCUUGAAGGGUACGUCCGGGGUAGGAGUGAAAUCCCGUAAUCCUGGACGGACCGCCGAUGGGGAAACCACUUCAAGAGAACGGAUCCGACAGUGAGGGACGAAAGCUAGGGUCUCGAACCGGAUUAGAUACCCGGGUAGUCCUAGCUGUAAACGAUGCCUGUUAGGUGUGACUCCCACUACGAGUGGGUGUUGUGCCGUAGGGAAGCCGCUAAACAGGCCGCCUGGGAAGUACGUCUGCAAGGAUGAAACAUUAA